CGGAAAUGGAUUAGCGGCGAACGGGGUGAGGAACACGUGAAGAAUCUGCCCUCCACUUUGGGAUAACACCGGGAAACCGGUGCUAAUACCGAAUAUUGAAACAUAAGUGGCAUCACUGAGUUUUGAAAGAAUUUCGGUGGAGGAUGACUUCGCGGCCUAUCAGCUAGUUGGUGAGGUAAUGGCUCACCAAGGCAACGACGGGUAGCCGGCCUGAGAGGGCGACCGGCCACACUGGGACUGAGACACGGCCCAGACUCCUACGGGAGGCAGCAGUGGGGAAUAUUGGGCAAUGGAGGAAACUCUGACCCAGCGACGCCGCGUGCGGGAUGAAGGCCUUCGGGUUGUAAACCGCUUUCAGUAGGGAAGAAGCGAAAGUGACGGUACCUACAAAAGAAGCACCGGCUAACUAUGUG
RNAcentral lists this ribosomal RNA (413 nucleotides) under uncultured bacterium. Its description in RNAcentral is "bacterial SSU rRNA". It matches the Rfam family "Bacterial small subunit ribosomal RNA", at positions 82 to 507 of the family's 1533-position model. The record is from RNAcentral.